UAUUGCACAAUGGGGGGAACCCUGAUGCAGCGACGCCGCGUGCGUGAAGAAGUAUUUCGGUAUGUAAAGCUCUAUCAGCAGGGAAGAAAAUGACGGUACCUGAAUAAGAAGCUCCGGCUAACUACGUGCCAGCAGCCGCGGUAAUACGUAGGGGGCAAGCGUUAUCCGGAUUUACUGGGUGUAGAGGGAGCGUAGACGGUUAUGCAAGUCUGGAGUGAAAGCCCGGGGCUCAACCCCGGGACUGCUUUGGAAACUGUAAGACUGGAGUGCAGGAGAGGCAGGCGGAAUUCCUAGUGUAGCGGUGAAAUGCGUAGAUAUUAGGAGGAACACCAGUGGCGAAGGCGGCCUGCUGGGCUUUAACUGACGCUGAGGCUCGAAAGCGUGGGGAGCAAACAGG
RNAcentral lists this ribosomal RNA (397 nucleotides) under uncultured bacterium. RNAcentral's name for it is "bacterial SSU rRNA". It matches the Rfam family "Bacterial small subunit ribosomal RNA", at positions 362 to 776 of the family's 1533-position model. The record is from RNAcentral.